CCUACGGGUGGCAGCAGUGGGGAAUAUUGGGCAAUGGAGGAAACCCUGACGCAGCAACGCCGCGUGAAGGAUGAAGGUUUUCGGAUUGUAAACUUCUUUCGCGAGGGAAGAAGAAUGAAGAGAUCAUGCAAGAAAGCCCCGGCAAAACACGCGCCAGCAGCCGCGGCAAUACGCAGGGUGCGAGCGUUGUCCGGAAGGACUGGGCGUAAAGGGAGUGGAGGUUGCUCUGUAAGUUAUAUGUGAAAUCCCGCGGCUUAACCGGGGAAGUGCAUAUGAAACUGGGGAGCUUGAGUGCAGGAGAGGUGAGUGGAAUUCCUGGUGUAGCGGUGAAAUGCGUAGAUAUUAGGAAGAACACCGGUGGCGAAGGCGGCUCCCUGGACUGUAACUGACGCUGAGGCUCGAAAGCGUGGGGAGCAAACAGGAUUAGAUACCCUUGUAGUC
RNAcentral lists this ribosomal RNA (441 nucleotides) under uncultured bacterium. RNAcentral describes it as "partial 16S ribosomal RNA". It matches the Rfam family "Bacterial small subunit ribosomal RNA", at positions 338 to 795 of the family's 1533-position model. The record is from RNAcentral.